This 1340-nucleotide long non-coding RNA is filed under the name Homo sapiens (human). Its description in RNAcentral is "long intergenic non-protein coding RNA 2325". Lineage: Eukaryota; Metazoa; Chordata; Mammalia; Primates; Hominidae. The record is from RNAcentral.
GGAGAACAGGUAGGAGUGUUUUGCUGGAGUGGUCCUGAUGUGGGAUGAUGGCGGCCCAGAUGAGAGGGGUGGCAAAUGAAACAAGCAGAAAGGAGAGAUGUAGGCCAUGGAACAGACAGAAGAGGACAUGGCCAGUGAGUGAAUGAAAUGAGAUGAAGAGGUAAAAAAGCGAAGUAUGUACCCAAGAUUACAGCUAAACUAGGACUUGAACCCAUGUCUGUCUGAAGUCCGAGCUGAAACUUUGGCCACUAAAUUGCCCUGUCUCACUACAGGAUGAAUCCUCCUGUCCUGUUGGGACCUGCCCUAUGGAGAGGGCCAUAGGACAAGCAAAUGGGGAUGAUUCCCAGCUGGUGAAGAACUGAGACCUUUAGUCCAGCAGUCCUUGUGGAGCUGAUUCCUGCCAGCAACCACGUAGUCGUGUAUGAGCCACCUCUCAAACAGGCUGUGAGUGAUCCAGGUGCAGGGGACCUGCUGGAGUGAAGCUUUUGGCAUGAUAAUUCAAUCCACGUUACUCCAUUGCCAUUUGUUACCACGUCCUUCAGUCUCCUCAAUCUCUCAGUCCCCUUAUUUUUCGUGACCUUGACAACUUUGAGGAGGACUCAUCAGUGAGAAUACCCUGAUUCAUUUGGAAUAGGAAUCACCUUACCUUUCCCAGCCUCACUUCUGGCUGCGAGAGCUCAUGGAGCAGCACUGAGAUUAAUGGCACAUGUGCAGAGGCCCUGGUGUGGGGCUUUUGUGAAUGUUUUUUAAGUUCCUGCCCAGGCUGACUCUAUCAUACAAGCUGUAACUUCUGCCAGUCCUAUCAGCCAGCAAACACAAAACUCUAGAGCAAGCCAAACAGUUCCAGGAUCACUAAGGAAUCAGAGAGCAGGACAUGGAGAUGAAGCCUGGAGCUCAUUUGUCCUGAAAGGCGGAAUCUUACUUCACAGAGAAACACCUCAUCGGAGCAUUUGCAGAUUCUGUUUCUCCUGCCUGCAGAAAGGGUGGGUGUGGCCAAGUUCAUCUCCAGCUUCGGAAAGGCUUGGUGCCAGAAGCCCUCACUUUGCCCUUCUCAAGUGGGCUGUAAGGACAAAGCUGCAGCACUGCCAAGGACAUGGAUCUCUCAAGCUCCUGUCUGGCACAUUGCAGGAAGUAAGGGGCAUGUCUAACCACCACGCUCAGCCAAGCCAAAGAACAAAGGCAGCGGCACUCUCUCUGGACCUUGGGGAAUAACACAGCCCUCCCAGGCAGAAGAUGCAAGCAUUCCUGUUGCAGUGCAAUUAGGAGCAGCGAAGAAACUCAGACAUGUGCCCCUUCUGUGUUGGCAACUGAUAUGACAGAACUUCAUGAGGUGCAAAAUA